GAUGAACGCUGGCGGCGUGCCUAAUACAUGCAAGUCGAGCGAACAGACGAGGUGCUUGUUCCUCUGACGUUAGCGGCGGACGGGUGAGUAACACGUGGAUAACCUACCUAUAAGACUGGGAUAACUUCGGGAAACCGGAGCUAAUACCGGAUAAUAUAUUUAACCGCAUGGUUCAAUAGUGAAAGACGGUUUUGCUUUCACUUAUAGAUGGAUCCGCGUGGGUUUAGCUAGUUGGUAAGGGAACGGACUACCAAGGCAACGAUACGAAGCCGACCGGAGGGGGGGAGCGGCCACACUGGGACUGGGACACGGCCCAAACCCCCACGGGAGGGAGCAGUAGGGAAUCUUCGGCAAUGGGGGAAAGGCUGAACGAGCAACGCCGGGGGAGUGAAGAAGGUUUUCGGAUCGUAAAACUCUGUUGGUAGGGAAGAAAGAUGGUGAGAGUGGAAAGCGCAUCAAGUGACGGUAACUACCCAGAAAGGGACGGCUAACUACGUG
Molecule: ribosomal RNA, 498 nt
Filed under: uncultured bacterium
Lineage: Bacteria
Description: partial 16S ribosomal RNA
Rfam family: Bacterial small subunit ribosomal RNA
Source: RNAcentral